GUACUGGAUAAAGAAAAAGUCCACAACAUUCCAGGAGUGAUCAAGCUGCGAAAGACCAUUAGCUCCUCUCAAGCCAGUCCCAUUACCUUACAGAUGAGAAGAGAGGUCCAUGGUAGGAAGUCACUUGCCGAUGGGCUCUCAGUGGAUCAGAAGGUGAGACCAUGAAUGAUUCCAUCCACCAGGACUGAAGUAUUCACGUCCCAGCCGCUGGGAUGUUGGUGCUGACAGCUCUCAGGGAACUCCAUCUGUGACACACGGGACAUGGUGAGAUGAACCCUGAGACUCUCAAAGCAAAUGGACACCGUUUUCACAUGGAAGAUCUGCAGAGCAUUGAUUGUCAUUUUUCCAAUUCAAACAUGGGUUUGUUUAUCUUUUGGCUGAGAGGUAAAUAGGCCAGUAGCCAAUACACUGAAAUUGGAAGUGCACCCCAUGCUGUCCAGCAGACUGUAGACACUUAGUAACAACUUGUUGAAAGAAAAACAUUUUCAGUCAAGAGGAAAUUAUUUUCCUGAAAAUACAGUUCAAUGCAGGCAAAGGCACAAGAUCAACUUCUAAAGUAAACACAUGUGGGCUUCCUAGGUGGUGCAGUGGUUGAGAAUUGCCUGCCAAUGCAGGGGACACGGGUUCAAUCCCUGCUCCAGGAAGAUCCCACAUGCCGCGGAGCAACUAAGCCCGUGCGCCACAACUAUUGAGCCUGCACUUUAGAGCCCGUGAGCCACAACGAUUGAGCCCAUGUGCUGCAACUACUGAAGCCCAUGCGCCUAGAGCCUGUGCUCCGCAACAAGAGAAGCCACGGCAAUGAGGAGCCCGCGCACUACAACAAAGAGUAGCCCCCACUCACCCCAACUAAAAAGAAGAAAGCCCACGCAGAGCAAAAAAGA
Molecule: long non-coding RNA, 881 nt
Organism: Hippopotamus amphibius kiboko
Lineage: Eukaryota; Metazoa; Chordata; Mammalia; Artiodactyla; Hippopotamidae
Exons: 4
Source: RefSeq, a predicted model, not a curated record